UUUAAGAUCAAGAUAUUUUGCUUUUCCAUGUACCCUAAUAUUGUCAAUUUUAAAGUAAUUAUAGCCAUAAACUUAACAGACAUGUAUAUUAAGAUGUAAAAUACCUAUUUUCACUCAUCUUACAGAUAUUGUAGGAACAGUGAAAAAUAAUUUAGGAAUUAUGAGCUUCAAGUUCACCAGCCUACACAUGAUGACUGAUGAUUUGAGCUUCCAAAAGAGAAAUGCAUCCUUGGAGAUGACAACCUCAGAGAGUGGAUCACGAUGUCUACCCAAAGUCCCACAGAGCCUGAACUCACUGGGAAGCUUUGUGAUUCCGAAGCCAAGCUCUUCACCGUGCAGUCAACGCUAGCAUAUAGUCUGUGGUGUGUGAGAAGUGACUGAUGAUUCAACAUGACGGAGAGAGAACAAGCUCAGAGGUCUCAAUGACAGCAGGAACCAAGUGCAUAAGAAGAGAGAUCAUUUCUUUUCACCCGUCUCCUAUUGGUGUGGUGAACCUGGUGCUGCCACGGUGCCUCAGUUUAUCCUGACCCUUCACCCAGCUCCAGCAGCUGCCGAGGAUCCACUGCCAGCUCAGCUGGGCAGGCAACUGUGAAUUGAACUCCCCAGGGGUGAGCACUGACCUGCAGAAGAUGGCAGAAGCCGACGAUGCAGGCUCACUUCCCCUGCGCCGCUGUGCACCCAAAGAGAAGCCCCUCAGCAGCCAACUGGGACUCCUCACCUGCGUUUCCUCAGGAGCAUCAGGGGAGCCAGUGCUCUGCUCCA
This is a long non-coding RNA of Talpa occidentalis (Iberian mole), 762 nucleotides long. RefSeq lists it as uncharacterized. The transcript has 5 exons. The record is from RefSeq and is a predicted model, not a curated record. NCBI's taxonomy places the organism in Eukaryota, Metazoa, Chordata, Mammalia, Eulipotyphla, Talpidae.